GAUGAACGCUGGCGGCGUGCCUAAUACAUGCAAGUCGAGCGUGCGGACGAGAAGCUUGCUUCUCUGAUGUUAGCGGCGGACGGGUGAGUAACACGUGGAUAACCUACCUAUAAGACUGGGAUAACUUCGGGAAACCGUAGCUAAUACCGGAUAAUAUUUUGAACCGCAUGGUUCAAAAGUGAAAGACGGUCUUGCUGUCACUUAUAGAUGGAUCCGCGCUGCAUUAGCUAGUUGGUAAGGUAACGGCUUACCAAGGCAACGAUGCAUAGCCGACCUGAGAGGGUGAUCGGCCACACUGGAACUGAGACACGGUCCAGACUCCUACGGGAGGCAGCAGUAGGGAAUCUUCCGCAAUGGGCGAAAGCCUGACGGAGCAACGCCGCGUGAGUGAUGAAGGUCUUCGGAUCGUAAAACUCUGUUAUUAGGGAAGAACAUAUGUGUAAGUAACUGUGCACAUCUUGACGGUACCUAAUCAGAAAGCCACGGCUAACUACGUG
RNAcentral lists this ribosomal RNA (497 nucleotides) under uncultured bacterium. RNAcentral's name for it is "partial 16S ribosomal RNA". It matches the Rfam family "Bacterial small subunit ribosomal RNA", at positions 28 to 507 of the family's 1533-position model. The record is from RNAcentral.